Molecule: ribosomal RNA, 497 nt
Filed under: uncultured bacterium
Lineage: Bacteria
Description: partial 16S ribosomal RNA
Rfam family: Bacterial small subunit ribosomal RNA
Source: RNAcentral
GAUGAACGCUGGCGGCGUGCCUAAUACAUGCAAGUCGAGCGAACGGACGAGAAGCUUGCUUCUCUGAUGUUAGCGGCGGACGGGUGAGUCAUACGUGGCUAACCUACCUAUAAGAAUGGGAUAACUUCGGGAAACCGGAGCUAAUACCGGAUAAUAUUUUGAACCUCAUGGUUCAAAAGUGAAAGCCGGUCUUGCUGUCACUUAUACGUGGAUCCGGGCUGCAUUAGUUAGUUGGUAAGGUAACGGCUUACCAAGGCAACGAUGCAUAGCCGACCUGAGAGGGUGAUCAGCCACACUGGAACUGAGACACGGUCCAGACUCCUACGGGAGGCAGCAGUAGGGAAUCUUCCGCAAUGGGCGAAAGCCUGACCGAGCAACGCCGCGUGAGUGAUGAAGGUCUUCGGAUCGUAAAACUCUGUUAGUAGGGAGGAAGAUAAGUGUAAUUAACUGUGCACAUCUUGACGGUACCUAAACAAAAAGCCACGGCUAACUACGUG